Molecule: transfer RNA, 62 nt
Filed under: Biomphalaria choanomphala
Lineage: Eukaryota; Metazoa; Mollusca; Gastropoda; Planorbidae
Description: tRNA-Gly
Source: RNAcentral
UUUUUUGUAAUAUAAUUAUUAUUAUUACCUUCCAAGUAAUUUAUCUCGCAAGAGCUUAAAAA